CGGACAGGUUUGUGGCAGUCUGCGGAGCAUGCACGUGUGAGCUUCGAGUAGCUCGAGAAAUAGCUUUAUGUCUUAUUUUUAAAACGUGCAUAUUUAAGUAUUUUAUGUUGUAUUUACAGUUUUGUUUCUUGAUCUGAAUCAGCAGAUGAUGAUUUGUUUUCAUUAUUUUCGUUAGCUGCCAGCUCUAGGUCUGGCAACCUCGUGUGGAGCCAUGUGCUCGAACGUCUUAAAGUGAAAAUGGCAGCAAUGGAUUGAAGCUGUAAGCCUCCAUCACAUAUGGAUUAUUGGAGUUAAUGUGCGAAGGCCUGGCUUCACGACUUGAAAGACCGCCAGUACGGUAUUCUUUUUCAGUGUACAUCUACAUAAAUAAAAAAAAUCCUGUAUAAAGCC
Long non-coding RNA from Boleophthalmus pectinirostris (great blue-spotted mudskipper), 390 nucleotides. RefSeq lists it as uncharacterized. The record is from RefSeq and is a predicted model, not a curated record. Lineage: Eukaryota; Metazoa; Chordata; Actinopteri; Gobiiformes; Gobiidae. The transcript is spliced from 4 exons.